CCCUUAGAUGUUCUGGGCCGCACGCGUGCUACACUGAGUGGAUCAGCGGGUCAGGUUGCGCGAAAGCGUUUCCUAAUCUUUAAAUCCGCUCGUGAUGGGGAUUGACGGUUGCAAUUUUCUGUCAUGAACGAGGAAUACCUUGUAAGCGCGGGUCAUCAUCCCGCGCUGAAUACGUCCCUGCCCUUUGUACACACCGCCCGUCGCUCCUACCGAUUGAGUGGUCCGGUGAGGCUUUGGGAUCUGAGCGGAAAGAGCGUUUCGCUGUUUCUGCUCGGAAAACUCAGUCGAACCUUAUCAUUUAGAGGAAGGAGAAGUCGUAACU
Molecule: ribosomal RNA, 322 nt
Filed under: uncultured eukaryote
Lineage: Eukaryota
Description: partial 18S ribosomal RNA
Rfam family: Eukaryotic small subunit ribosomal RNA
Source: RNAcentral